GUUCCCUUCGUCUAGGCCGGUCUAGGACACCUCCCUUUCACGGAGGUAACGUGGGUUCGAAUCCCACAGGGAACGCCA
Molecule: transfer RNA, 78 nt
Filed under: compost metagenome
Description: tRNA-Glu
Rfam family: tRNA
About the family: Transfer RNA (tRNA) molecules are approximately 80 nucleotides in length. Their secondary structure includes four short double-helical elements and three loops (D, anti-codon, and T loops).
Source: RNAcentral